This is a non-coding RNA of Merluccius polli (Benguela hake), 74 nucleotides long. The record is from the annotation of a GenBank genome assembly. NCBI's taxonomy places the organism in Eukaryota, Metazoa, Chordata, Actinopteri, Gadiformes, Merlucciidae.
GCAGGAUAGCCUUGUGGUUAGGGUGUUUUCGACUCCUAGCCAAAAAGUUCUGGGUUCGAACCCCAAUGUCUGCA